UACGGGGGGUGCGAGCGUUGUCCGGAAUCACUGGGCGUAAAGGGCGCGUAGGUGGCCUGAUAAGGGUGUGGUGAAAGUCCGGGGCUCAACCUCGGAUCGGCCGUGGCGACUCGUGGGCUGGAGCACUGUAGAGGCGGGUGGAAUUCCGGGUGUAGCGGUGGAAUGCGUAGAGAUCCGGAAGAACACCAGUGGCGAAGGCGGCCCGCUGGGCAGUGGCUGACGCUGAGGCGCGACAGCGUGGGGAGCAAACAGG
RNAcentral lists this ribosomal RNA (253 nucleotides) under uncultured bacterium. Its description in RNAcentral is "partial 16S ribosomal RNA". It matches the Rfam family "Bacterial small subunit ribosomal RNA", at positions 524 to 776 of the family's 1533-position model. The record is from RNAcentral.